Molecule: ribosomal RNA, 433 nt
Filed under: uncultured bacterium
Lineage: Bacteria
Description: partial 16S ribosomal RNA
Rfam family: Bacterial small subunit ribosomal RNA
Source: RNAcentral
AGCGAACGCUGGCGGCAGGCCUAACACAUGCAAGUCGAACGAACUCUUCGGAGUUAGUGGCGGACGGGUGAGUAACACGUGGGAACGUUCCUUUAGGUUCGGAAUAACUCAGGGAAACUUGUGCUAAUACCGAAUGUGCCCUUCGGGGGAAAGAUUUAUCGCCUUUAGAGCGGCCCGCGUCUGAUUAGCUAGUUGGUGAGGUAAAGGCUCACCAAGGCGACGAUCAGUAGCUGGUCUGAGAGGAUGAUCAGCCACAUUGGGACUGAGACACGGCCCAAACUCCUACGGGAGGCAGCAGUGGGGGAUCUUGCGCAAUGGGCGAAAGCCUGACGCAGCCAUGCCGCGUGAAUGAUGAAGGUCUUAGGAUUGUAAAAUUCUUUCACCGGGGACGAUAAUGACGGUACCCGGAGAAGAAGCCCCGGCUAACUUCGUG